CACAUGCAAGUCGAACGAAGCACUUACGACAGAACUUUUCGGAGGGAAGAUGUUUGUGACUGAGUGGCGGACGGGUGAGUAACGCGUGGGUAACCUGCCUUGCAGAGGGGGACAACAGUUGGAAACGACUGCUAAUACCGCAUAAUAGAUCGAGACCGCAUGAUCAUGAUCUUAAAGAUUUAUCGCUGCAAUCUUGGUUACAGACGAGCAUGCGCUCCAUUAGCCAGUUGGCGGGGUAACGGCCCACCAAGGCGACGAUGGAUAGGGGUUCUGAGAGGAAGGUCCCCCACAUUGGAACUGAGACACGGUCCAAACUCCUACGGGAGGCAGCAGUGAGGAAUAUUGGUCAAUGGACGAGAGUCUGAACCAGCCAAGUAGCGUGCAGGAAGACGGCCCUAUGGGUUGUAAACUGCUUUUAUAAGGGAAUAAAGUGAGUCUCGUGAGACUUUUUGCAUGUACCUUAUGAAUAAGGACCGGCUAAUUCCGUG
Molecule: ribosomal RNA, 488 nt
Filed under: uncultured bacterium
Lineage: Bacteria
Description: bacterial SSU rRNA
Rfam family: Bacterial small subunit ribosomal RNA
Source: RNAcentral